This 99-nucleotide small nuclear RNA is filed under the name Carlito syrichta (Philippine tarsier). Lineage: Eukaryota; Metazoa; Chordata; Mammalia; Primates; Tarsiidae. The record is from RNAcentral.
GCACCCUCUGUAUGUAUACAAAAUUGGAACACUACGGACAAGAUUAGCGUGGCCCUGCACAAACAUGAGAUGCAAAUUUGUGUAGAGUUCCACAUUUUU